Molecule: long non-coding RNA, 388 nt
Organism: Eurytemora carolleeae
Lineage: Eukaryota; Metazoa; Arthropoda; Copepoda; Calanoida; Temoridae
Exons: 3
Source: RefSeq, a predicted model, not a curated record
AUUUAAUCUAAUUUUCAGAUAUAGAAUGGCAGAGACUCAGAAAGAGGAAUAGGAAUUAGAUUUAGAAGAGUUUGAGAUAAAAGAAGAGAUAGUUUCCUUAAAGGAAGAAAUUAUUCCCUCCUUUACAGUAGAGGCUAAAUGCACUGUUAAUGUAAAAGAGGAUAUAAAGAUGGCAAAUACAGGAAUACAAGAUGAAUUGAAUACUGAGAUACAGGAAACAGUAGAGCAUAAACCUGUAUUUGAUCAUGAUUUUCACACUGAGCUAAUUAUCAAAGAUGAAUUCAAGAACUUAGAUUCAGGUAUACAAGAUGUUGAAAACAGUAAACCUGUAUUUGAUCCUGAUUUUCACACCGAGCUAAUCAUUAAAGACGAAUAUGAGGAUUGUAAU